CAGGACUCCAUUUUACACCAUCCAUGCUGCUGAAAAGACACAGUUUGCAUCUCUCCUUAUGAUAGAAUCGCUGAUACCCUCCACUAGAAUCUUACGCAGGUCCAAUCGGGCAGACCCUUGCCCGACCUGGACCCACAGACCUGCAAGCAGCCCUGACCCGCCACCCACUACCGGAGCAAACCGGCAAACAGCUUGCUUACCCACCAACUCGGUGCCCGCGAAAACUGUAAAGUGACUUCACUUUUAACCGGAUGUGGCACCACACGGGACCCUAUUCUGCUAGGUACAUGGCCCAGGGCAGCUACAAGGGCACUAGGAGAGAAGUCAAGAUGGUGACACAGAGUUUUCUAGGAUUGUAGAGCAGGCCAGUGUGUUUUAUCAGUGAAGAGGAGAUUAUAAUCACUGCCAGCCAGGAGGAAUUUAGGAAUGAAAGGCCAGAGACAAUAUUAUUUUCCCUUGAUGUGGCUUCAUUCUCCUGGGAUCCGAGGAAUGACAGAUUCCCAUCAUAUGGCCUGAAGAGCUUUGCUGAUGGCUGUGUGAAAGGUAAAAAAUAUUUUUGUUAAAAUGAUACAAAAUAUCUAUUAGGAGCAAGAGAAUAGUCACAGUAUUUGUGUUGUGUUUAGUGUGGUUAGAUGGUUUUAGUUGUAAAAAGAGCAGGUUUUGUUUCAGUUUGCCAUGUAUUUCAUAUCAUUAUACAAUAAAGAUUACAAUAAAACUAUCCAGCCUUUAGACAUGGAAGUGCAAUAAUAAUGCUUUCUGAGAGACAUCUCCAUAUGUGUAUAGAUAUUCAUGUGUGUGUAAAUAUGGUGACUAAUGUGUUUAAUAUUUAAAUAAAUAACUUCCACAAAUGAACCCACUGCUUUCACAUUCAUCUGUCACAAAUCUUGUACUUACUUUGCGUGGCUGGAAAGGGGGAUCUGCUCCUUCCUCUUCCAGCACCACCCAGUCGAUGGGCUCAAAGAACGGGUGGCACCUGAUGUCUCCUCUGGCCCCGAGCCGUCGCCUCGGCUUCUUUUUGAGGAGCUAAAGGUUCAAAGAGCAAUUAUUUUAAUACCACUGAUUUUAUACUCUCUAAAAUACCCAUCAAUGAAAUUACUGCAAAUGAUUCAUAGGUUUGCAAGUUAAUUAUUCAAAUCGCUAAUAGGUUUUUAUGAUACAUUAUAGAACGUGUGGUUUCAGAAUGUAACAUGAAACUCUUGUAGCUCAUUCAUGUUAUUGUAUAACCCUAUAAGAAUGCAAAGGUGAUAAAAGGUUUUAACUAAGGCAAUGCAGUAAAAUAAAAAAAUAUUUGUGUUACAAUACUAUUGUUGGAAUAAAUAAAAGUUGAAUGGACAUAUAUGCU
Long non-coding RNA from Xenopus laevis (African clawed frog), 1342 nucleotides. RefSeq lists it as uncharacterized. The record is from RefSeq and is a predicted model, not a curated record. Lineage: Eukaryota; Metazoa; Chordata; Amphibia; Anura; Pipidae. The transcript is spliced from 4 exons.